CCUACGGGUGGCAGCAGUGAGGAAUAUUGGUCAAUGGGCGCGAGCCUGAACCAGCCAAGUAGCGUGAAGGAUGACUGCCCUACGGGUUGUAAACUUCUUUUGUCAGGGAGCAAUUGGGUCCACGCGUGGGCUUUGCGAGAGUAUCUAAAGAAAAAGCAUGGGCUAAUUCCGUGCCAGCAGCGGUAAUACGGAGUGUGCCAGCGUUAUCCGGAUUUAUUGGGUUUAAAGGAUGCGUAGGAGGGAUAUCAAGUCAGCGGUAAAAAUUCGGGGCUAAACCCCGUCGUGCCGUUGAAACUGAUGUUCUUGAGUGGGCGAGAAGUAUGCGGAAUGCGUGGUGUAGCGGUGAAAUGCAUAGAUAUCACGAAGAACUCCGAUUGCGAAGGCAGCAUACCGGCGCCCAACUGACGCUGAAGCACGAAAGUGUGGGUAUCGAACAGGAUUAGAUACCCGUGUAGUC
RNAcentral lists this ribosomal RNA (457 nucleotides) under uncultured bacterium. RNAcentral describes it as "partial 16S ribosomal RNA". It matches the Rfam family "Bacterial small subunit ribosomal RNA", at positions 338 to 795 of the family's 1533-position model. The record is from RNAcentral.